UUCAUAGAGUGGCAGAGAGUGUGAGAUUCCAUCCGUAACUGACGAGACACAGACAGUUGAUGUUUGCAGGGGAAAGAAUGGCGUUUCUUUCUGCCCUCCGCCCCUCGGUCGCUGGAGCUAAUACUCAGAGAUUACUUCGGAUUUAUGAGCAACAUCGACAUUAUGACGUAGAGAGAGGCAGUGUGCUCUUGAUCCCAAUGGAUGACAUGAUGCCCACACCCCCCUGCAGCUGACACAAAGCGAAGACUACCAGGCUUCAGGUUUCGCUUUCUUUCUUCUUAUAUUUUUGGUUGUGAGUCUAGCCUUUAACGGCUGAGCCAUCUCUCCAGCCCGCUUUCUUUCUUCUAAUGUAAGAAGGGGAUCGAUUCAUGGGCCAUGUGGCUUAGGAAAGCACAGAAGCUAAUAGUCCUGGAAACACUAAAUAUACCAUGCGUUAUGUACAGCAUGAAAGUAGACCGUAUGCCAUUUAAUACCAGAGCCUGUGAAGGUAUGUUUAGCCUCAUCUUUGCACUCGGGGAAACACCAGUAUUUGAGCCUCCAUGUCCCGUGACCAGAGAGUAAUGGCCGUAUCUUGAAUCUCGUCCAUACAUUGGUUACCUAAAUCCUGAAGCUUGCUGCCCAGCUGAGGAAACUGCGUGGGUCAGCUGUUACAUAAACACAGGCGAGAAGAGUCCUUUUGCAUCCUUGACACUCCACAGGGAACCACACCCAACAGCAUUGUGUUUUGGGUUGGGGUCGGUUCGCUUCCUUGAAUUAGACACAUCCUUUUCGAAACGAUUGAGCUGGGGCAGCUGUGGAAGGCUACUGGUGUGUUAGGAACGCUAGUGUGUUUAUUGAGAGGAGUGGCCUUUGUAGCAAAGAAAGAGUUCCUUUGAUAAUCAACCUUACCACUUUCCCGUAAAACACCCAAGGAGGGAAACCAAUUCUCUUGGUUCUCCUCUACACUAACCUAGAUGGAGCUGAAGAUGGACAAACCCUCUGGAUUUAAGGACAGCAUGCUGUUUCACACUGGGUUUGCUGACGAGAGCAUUCCUCUGCAGGAAUGAGACUCUGGAAAGAAAGCUAGAUUUGGACUCAACUUGUAGAAUUCUAGCUUCUCCCUGGUCUCUGUCACUCCCCUCUGUAUCAAAAACAAACAAACAAACAAACAAACAAACGAAGCAGGAGGAUCCCUGCUUCCUCACUGGGCUUUCCUUCGGAGAUCACAUAAGAAGUUUGAAAGAGUCUCAAAAGCACGACACUGCAGUGUACAAAGCUCGCAUCUUAUCGCUAUGGUUGUAGCACCUGGUACUACAUUUAUAAACGCCACGUGUUUUCUUUUCAGUUCUGUAAUAACUAACCCUAUUUCUCACUUGUGAGGACUUGAUUGGACCAAAGAUGAGGACCAAGACAUGAGAAGCCUCUGUGUGUGUGUGUGUGUGUGUGUGUGUGUGUGUGAGAGAGAGAG
Rattus norvegicus (Norway rat) is the source of this 1447-nucleotide non-coding RNA. Lineage: Eukaryota; Metazoa; Chordata; Mammalia; Rodentia; Muridae. The record is from RefSeq and is a predicted model, not a curated record.